UGUGAACGAAUUCCUUCCGAACUUCUAUUGCGGGUAGGCUUCGGCCGAGCUUCCUCAAUAAAUGAUCCCCAUUCGGACUUCUACGAGAACCAGACUCCGACCAAACUUCUGUAGCGGACAGAUUCUGGACGAACUCCUACGACGCGUGGGCUCCAACAGCCGAACCCCUCCAGCGGGUGAACCUCUCUAGCACCAUCCGACAUCCACUGCCAGUCGACCUUCUAUCGGAUUCUGC
Molecule: long non-coding RNA, 235 nt
Filed under: Elaeis guineensis (African oil palm)
Lineage: Eukaryota; Viridiplantae; Streptophyta; Magnoliopsida; Arecales; Arecaceae
Description: long non-coding RNA (EGUI_LNC038898)
Source: RNAcentral